RNAcentral lists this long non-coding RNA (1777 nucleotides) under Zea mays. Its description in RNAcentral is "long non-coding RNA (ZMAY_LNC003786)". Lineage: Eukaryota; Viridiplantae; Streptophyta; Magnoliopsida; Poales; Poaceae. The record is from RNAcentral.
UGACGCAAAGGCAAAAUGCAAAAUCAGCGUGAACAGUACGGGGGUACUGUUCACCUAUUUAUAGACACGGGACACGGCUCAUACAAAAUUACAUUCAUGCCCAUUACAUUUGGUAAUAAUUCUAUAGUAAUCCGCCGAGGUCUGAAUAGCCUUUUUAUCUUUAAGUCGGUUUCAUUUUCUGCUAGCACGCCGAAGCUUUCCCGCUCACAUCUUUGGCGCUGUAUCAACCUUCGUAUUAUUUUAGGCUUCUCCUACUGUGAUUCCGACUCGAGCCCGAAGGUACCUGUUCACACAUUAUGCUCCAGAAAUACUGUUAAAUCCUGUUUUUGAGGACCUUCGUAAGCCGAAGGCCCCCAACACCAGGUAUGAUCGGAAGUAUUGAUUGCAUGCACUGGGAGUGGGAAAAUUGCCCCACGACCUGGCAAGGUCAGUACAGAGGUUACUACAAGAAACCUACAUUGAUUCUAGAGGCUGUUGCAAGCCAUAACCUUUGGAUUUGGCAUGCAUUUUUUGGAAUGCCUGGAUCUUGCAAUGACAUUAACGUCCUGCAUCAUUCACCAGUCUUCGACAACUUAGCCAAUGGAGUUGGUCCUUCGGUUAGUUACCAACUGAAUGGUCAACAAUACCAUAUGGCUUACUACCUUGCUGACGGCAUUUAUCUGUCGUGGACUACUUUGAUUUAACCUAUCUCUUGCCCAUUUAGCAAUAAGCACAAGUAUUUUACCGCCAAACAUGAUGAGUACCAAAAGGACGUGGAACGAGCAUUUGGAGUCUUACAAGACAAAUACCAAAUUAUAAAGAAUCAUGCUCGCAAUUGGAACCCCAUUGAUCUCAAAUUCAUUGUUGAUUGUGUUAUCAUUCUACACAAUAUGGGCACUGAGUACGAGCAUGGCAUGGAACCUAUUCGAAUUGAAGAUUAUGAAGGAGGCUCUCGUCCAAAUUCCUCGGCAACUUCUAACUCUUCUGUAGUGGGUGAGGGGGUGGGUUGUAAUUGGUAAUAACUUAUGCACAUUGAAUGGCAACCAUGUCCAACCAAUCCGAUAAGUCUAGGAUCUUGUCAAUAAGCUGCUGGAGUUCAUAAGAUGAGUUGGUAGGAUGACCAACCGUCUGCCUAACCUCGACCGAGUUCAUCUCCAUUUCCUUUACAACCCAUUUGAGGGUAUCCAAAGGAGUGUACGCCAUCUGCAGGACACAUGCAAUCAGGCAGUAGCACCGAACAUCUGUGACACAUGAAAUCAGUAAAGCAACUAGCCGACAUGGAACAAAUUGAAUUCCAAUUGGUGAUUGGUAUGUAUUUGUGUUCCAGCAAUUUUUUGUUUAAACCCUAAACGUGUAUGUGCAGGUCUGCAGGAUGCUAAAUGAAGACAUUAAACACAAAUCUCACACGACGGACGCUACAUACAAGAUCCAAACAACGAUGCAUCGAAACAUCUCACAGGUCGAUUCAGAUGCAUACCUUCGCACAGAUGUGGGAGUCGUUGAGGUGGAAUCGCCGGUUCCUGGAGAUUCGGACCGCCGAUUCUGCCGGCGGCGCUUACCGUGAUGAGAACACCCCCUGCUACCCGACCGGCACCGUUUGCAGGAGGGCCCCGGAAUCUCCAGAUCGAUCGCCGCCGUGGGCGAAAUAGGGUGGCCAGAGGAAGGGAACGGACGAAAGGGAAAGUAUGAUCGUUGUCCAGAAUAUGCGAGGAAGAGAGAGAAGUGUGGAUUUGCGCAUGCUGUAGCCAGACCUCUAAUUAUGCGAUACCCUAUACCUACACGCAUGCUGUUGGGACAG